Molecule: small RNA, 28 nt
Filed under: Bombyx mori (domestic silkworm)
Lineage: Eukaryota; Metazoa; Arthropoda; Insecta; Lepidoptera; Bombycidae
Description: ovarian small RNA-14080
Source: RNAcentral
CCUGUCGAUUCCGGCACUGAGCGCCAGG